GACGAACGCUGGCGGCGUGCUUAACACAUGCAAGUCGAACGCAUCCUUCGGGGUGAGUGGCAGACGGGUGUGUAACGCGUGGGAACGUGCCCUUCAGUUCGGAAUAACCCAGGGAAACUUGGGCUAAUACCGGAUACGUGCGAGAGCAGAAAGAUUUAUCGCUGAAGGAUCGGCCAGCGUCUGAUUAGCUAGUUGGUGAGGUAAUGGCUCACCAAGGCGACGAUCAGUAGCUGGUCUGAGAGGAUGAUCAGCCACAUUGGGACUGAGACACGGGCCAGACUCCUACGGGAGGCAGCAGUGGGGAAUAUUGGACAAUGGGCGCAAGCCUGAAGCAGCCAGGCCGCGUGAGUGAUGAAGGCCGUAGGGUUGUAGAGCUCUUUCAGUGGGGACGAUAAUGACGGUACCCGCAGAAGAAGCCCCGGCUAACUUCGUGCCAGCCGCCGCAGUAA
RNAcentral lists this ribosomal RNA (449 nucleotides) under uncultured bacterium. Its description in RNAcentral is "partial 16S ribosomal RNA". It matches the Rfam family "Bacterial small subunit ribosomal RNA", at positions 28 to 523 of the family's 1533-position model. The record is from RNAcentral.